UACGUAGGUGGCAAGCGUUGUCCGGAUUUAUUGGGUUUAAAGGGUGCGUAGGCGGUCUUAUAAGUCAGUUGUGAAAUACGGCAGCUUAACUGGGGAACUGCGUCUGAUACUGGAUGGCUUGGAUUCGGGAGAGGAAUGCGGAAUUCCAGGUGUAGCGGUGAAAUGCGCAGAUAUCAGGAGGAACACCGGUGGCGAAGGCGGUUCUCUGGGCCUUACCUGACGCUGAGGAGCGAAAGCGUGGGGAGCGAACAGG
RNAcentral lists this ribosomal RNA (253 nucleotides) under uncultured bacterium. RNAcentral's name for it is "partial 16S ribosomal RNA". It matches the Rfam family "Bacterial small subunit ribosomal RNA", at positions 524 to 776 of the family's 1533-position model. The record is from RNAcentral.